Molecule: long non-coding RNA, 493 nt
Filed under: Nicotiana benthamiana
Lineage: Eukaryota; Viridiplantae; Streptophyta; Magnoliopsida; Solanales; Solanaceae
Description: long non-coding RNA (NBEN_LNC011942)
Source: RNAcentral
CAUAUAACAUCCGGUCUAACCUUUUCGUAUUCAGCCUAUUAUGAUAAUACUACAUAAAAUAAAUCUAAUGUGAUGGAAAAUUAAAAGGUUGAAAAAAGGCUUCAACCUUCACAUUAUGUUUCGCAAUCCAUGUGCGACCCAUUUUUGUUUUGCAUUUCUCAUUGGAGGUUUUCUUAUGAACUGGCUAUUCUUCUCCUCCAAAGUUGUGUUUUGUUGUACAGUUUUGUUCUUUGCGACUGUUGGCACCAGUGAUGCAGUUCUAUUAGCAUCAGAAGUGUCGCGAGAAUAUGUUGAGUUUCCUGGAGAAGAAGCUGGAGCUUUGCAGCUGAGGUUGGUUACUGAUCUUGCUGUUGGUUUCAAGUUUGCAGGACUCUUUAUUGUCACAGAUUUUAUUUGACUCUUUUGCUUAAGUUGGACAUCCGUGUCCUCUCCUUCACUGUCGUCAUCAUAAAACACCAUAUCUGUGCCGCAAGAUAACUUGGUAGUAUUUGAC